Molecule: ribosomal RNA, 498 nt
Filed under: uncultured bacterium
Lineage: Bacteria
Description: partial 16S ribosomal RNA
Rfam family: Bacterial small subunit ribosomal RNA
Source: RNAcentral
AUUGAACGCUGGCGGCAUGCCUUACACAUGCAAGUCGAACGGUAACAGGUCUUCGGAUGCUGACGAGUGGCGAACGGGUGAGUAAUACAUCGGAACGUGCCUAGUAGUGGGGGAUAACUACUCGAAAGAGUGGCUAAUACCGCAUGAGAUCUACGGAUGAAAGCAGGGGAUCGCAAGACCUGGUGCUACUAGAGCGGCCGGUGGCAGAUUAGGUAGUUGGUUGGAUAAAAGCUUACCAAGCCGACGAUCUGUAGCUGGUCUGAGAGGACGAUCAGCCACACUGGGACUGAGACACGGCCCAGACUCCUACGGGAGGCAGCAGUGGGGAAUUUUGGACAAUGGGCGAAAGCCUGAUCCAGCAAUGCCGCGUGCAGGAUGAAGGCCUUCGGGUUGUAAACUGCUUUUGUACGGAACGAAAAGCCCUGGGUUAAUACCCUGGGGUCAUGACGGUACCGUAAGAAUAAGCACCGGCUAACUACGUGCCAGCCGCCGCAGUAA